This 196-nucleotide unclassified non-coding RNA is filed under the name rhizosphere metagenome. Its description in RNAcentral is "partial ribosomal RNA internal transcribed spacer region". The record is from RNAcentral.
GUAGGUGAACCUGCGGAAGGAUCAUUACGUAUUUUAGGCCGGUCUGACCGGUUCUAUUUAACCCUUUUUUUUGCGUACUCAUUGUUUCCUUGGUAGGCUUGCCUACCAGUAGGACAUUUUAAACUCUUAUAUUAGCAAUCAGCGUCAAAAUAUAAAACAAUUGUAACAACUUUCAACAACGGAUCUCUUGGUUCUG